CCCUUAGAUGCUCUGGGCCGCACGCGCGCUACACUGGUCGAUGUAACGAGUUUCUUUCCUUGGCCGACAGGCCUGGGCAAUCUUUGAACAUCGAUCGUGAUCGGGAUAGAUUCUUGUAAUUUUUGAUCUUAAACGAGGAAUUCCUAGUAAACGCAAGUCAUCAGCUUGCAUUGAUUACGUCCCUGCCCUUUGUACACACCGCCCGUCGCACCUACCGAUUGAAUGGUCCGGUGAAAUCUCCGGACUGGCGUGAGUCGGAGCAAUCUGACAAACACCGGAAAGUUGAUUAAACCUUACCAUUUAGAGGAAGGUGAAGUCGUAACA
RNAcentral lists this ribosomal RNA (324 nucleotides) under uncultured eukaryote. RNAcentral describes it as "partial 18S ribosomal RNA". It matches the Rfam family "Eukaryotic small subunit ribosomal RNA", at positions 1470 to 1796 of the family's 1831-position model. The record is from RNAcentral.